RNAcentral lists this ribosomal RNA (406 nucleotides) under uncultured bacterium. RNAcentral describes it as "partial 16S ribosomal RNA". It matches the Rfam family "Bacterial small subunit ribosomal RNA", at positions 29 to 526 of the family's 1533-position model. The record is from RNAcentral.
AUUGAACGCUGGCGGCAGGCUUAACACAUGCAAGUCGAGCGAGCGGCGGCCGGGUGAGUAAUUCAUGGGGACCUGCCCGUUAGGGGGGGAUCACUAUUGGAAACGGUGGCUAAUACCGCAUACUAUCGGUUGAACCUAUAUGGGAUUAGCUAGUGGGUGGGGUAAAGGCUCACAUAGGCGACGAUCUCGAGCGGGUCUGAGAGGGUGACCAGCCACACUGGGACGGGAAAACGGCCCAGACUCCUACGGGAGGCAGAAGUGGGGAAUAUUGCACAAUGGGGGAAAGCCUGAUGCGGCCAUGCCGCGUAGGUGAGGAAGGCCUUGGGGUGGUAAAUUACUUUCAGCGGGGAGGCGUUACCCGCAGAGGAAGCACCGGCUAACUCCGUGCCAGCCGCCGCGGUAAUAC